Molecule: ribosomal RNA, 907 nt
Filed under: uncultured bacterium
Lineage: Bacteria
Description: bacterial SSU rRNA
Rfam family: Bacterial small subunit ribosomal RNA
Source: RNAcentral
AGAGUUUGAUCCUGGCUCAGGAUGAUCGCUAGCGGCAGGCUUAAUACAUGCAAGUCGAGGGGCAGCAUGACUGUAGCAAUACAGUUGAUGGCGACCGGCAAACGGGUGCGGAACACGUACAGAACCUUCCUUCGAGCGGGGAAUAGCCCAGAGAAAUUUGGAUUAAUACCCCAUAGCAUAUUGAUGAGGCAUCUUAUUAAUAUUAAAGAUUUAUCACUUGAAGAUGGCUGUGCGGCUGAUUAGAUAGUUGGUGAGGUAAUGGCUCACCAAGUCUGCGAUCAGUAACUGGUGUGAGAGCACGACCAGUCACACGGGCACUGAGACACGGGCCCGACUCCUACGGGAGGCAGCAGUAAGGAAUAUUGGUCAAUGGAUGAAAGUCUGAACCAGCCAUGCCGCGUGGAGGAUGAAGGCCCUCUGGGUUGUAAACUUCUUUUAUAUGGGACGAAAAAAGGCUUUUCUAGGUCGUCUGACGGUACCAUAUGAAUAAGCACCGGCUAACUCCGUGCCAGCAGCCGCGGUAAUACGGAGGGUGCAAGCGUUAUCCGGAUUCACUGGGUUUAAAGGGUGCGUAGGUGGGUUGGUAAGUCAGUGGUGAAAUCUCCGAGCUUAACUUGGAAACUGCCAUUGAUACUAUCAGUCUUGAAUACCGCGGAGGUCAGCGGAAUAUGUCAUGUAGCGGUGAAAUGCUUAGAUAUGACAUAGAACACCAAUUGCGAAGGCAGCUGGCUACUCGAAUAUUGACACUGAGGCACGAAAGCGUGGGGAUCAAACAGGAUUAGAUACCCUGGUAGUCCACGCCCUAAACUAUGGAUACUCGACAUUUGCGAUACACUGUAAGUGUCUGAGCGAAAGCAAUUAAGUAUCCCACCUGAGAAGGUACGAUCGCAAGAUUGAAACUCAGAGG